GAUGAACGCUGGCGGCGUGCUUAACACAUGCAAGUCGAACGGAAAGGCCCUUGCUUGCAGGGGUACUCGAGUGGCGAACGGGUGAGUAACACGUGGGUGAUCUGCCCUGCACUUCGGGAUAAGCCUGGGAAACUGGGUCUAAUACCGGAUAGGACCAUCGUUUAGUGUCGGCGGUGGAAAGUUUUUUCGGUGUGGGAUGAGCUCGCGGCCUAUCAGCUUGUUGGUGGGGUAAUGGCCUACCAAGGCGUCGACGGGUAGCCGGCCUGAGAGGGUGUACGGCCACAUUGGGACUGAGAUACGGCCCAGACUCCUACGGGAGGCAGCAGUGGGGAAUAUUGCACAAUGGGCGCAAGCCUGAUGCAGCGACGCCGCGUGGGGGAUGACGGCCUUCGGGUUGUAAACUCCUUUCGUCAGGGACGAAGCGAAAGUGACGGUACCUGGAUAAGAAGCACCGGCUAACUACGUG
This 466-nucleotide ribosomal RNA is filed under the name uncultured bacterium. RNAcentral describes it as "partial 16S ribosomal RNA". It matches the Rfam family "Bacterial small subunit ribosomal RNA", at positions 28 to 507 of the family's 1533-position model. The record is from RNAcentral.